UUGGAGGGCAAGUCUGGUGCCAGCAGCCGCGGUAAUUCCAGCUCCAAUAGCGUACAUUAAAGUUGUUGCAGUUAAAAAGCUCGUAGUUGAAUUUCGGGAUCAGAGUGUCGGUCGUGCCUCGGUACGCACUGGUAUUAUUGGUUCCUACCUUCUGAAGAACCGCGAUGUCAUUAAUUUGGUGUCGUGGGGAAUCAGGACUGUUACUUUGAAAAAAUUAGAGUGUUUAAAGUAGGCUUACGCUUGAAUACAUUAGCAUGGAAUAAUGAAAUAGGACGUUUGAUUCUAUUUUGUUGGUUUCUAGGAUUGACGUAAUGAUUAAUAGGGAUAGUUGGGGGCAUUAGUAUUCAAUUGUCAGAGGUGAAAUUCUUGGAUUUUAUUGAAGACUAACUACUGCGAAAGCAUUUGCCAAGGAUGUUUUCAUUAAUCAAGAACGAAAGUUAGGGGAUCGAAGACGAUCAGAUACCGUCGUAGUCUUAACCAUAAACUAUGCCGACUAGGGAUCGGAUGAUGUUAAUUUUUUAAUGACUCAUUCGCGCCUUACGGAAAAC
This 548-nucleotide ribosomal RNA is filed under the name uncultured Glomeromycotina. RNAcentral's name for it is "SSU rRNA". It matches the Rfam family "Eukaryotic small subunit ribosomal RNA", at positions 548 to 1098 of the family's 1831-position model. The record is from RNAcentral. Lineage: Eukaryota; Fungi; Glomeromycota.